This 355-nucleotide long non-coding RNA is filed under the name Elaeis guineensis (African oil palm). Its description in RNAcentral is "long non-coding RNA (EGUI_LNC020287)". Lineage: Eukaryota; Viridiplantae; Streptophyta; Magnoliopsida; Arecales; Arecaceae. The record is from RNAcentral.
GUCAAUAUGUUGGUCACAACGGAGGGUAUCUUGAAGAGUUCAAGGGGCUCUAUUCUUGCUAUGAAGUGGACUUCUUCUUUCAAGAGAAAAUUUGUUAGAAGGAAAAAGGCUAAAUCUGUAAAAAAGCAGAAGAAAGAGAGCAAGCCGAAGAAGGAUGGUCCAAAGGUAACUGAGGUAAAGAAAAAGUGUUUUCACUGUCAUGUUGAAGGCCACUGGAGGAGAACUGUCUAAAACACAUAGAGAGCCUAAAGACCAAAAAGGAUGAUAAAUCUUCCGAAGGUAUGCUCGUAAUUGAAUCUAACCUUAUGGUUUCUUCUACUUUUAGUUGGAUAUUAGACUCUGGCUCGAGUACUCA